This 494-nucleotide ribosomal RNA is filed under the name uncultured bacterium. RNAcentral's name for it is "partial 16S ribosomal RNA". It matches the Rfam family "Bacterial small subunit ribosomal RNA", at positions 28 to 507 of the family's 1533-position model. The record is from RNAcentral.
GACGAACGCUGGCGGCGCGCUUAACACAUGCAAGUCGAACGGAAAGGCCUGCUUUCCCUUGUGGAUUGCGGGUACUCGAGUGGCGAACGGGUGAGUAACACGUGAGUGAUCUGCCCCCAACUUGGGUAUAAGCCUGGGAAACUGGGUCUAAUUCCCGAUAGGACUGCAGGGUGGUGCCUGUGGUGGAAAACGAUUUUCUAGUGGUUGGGGAUGAGCUCGCGGCCUAUCAGCUUGUUGGUGGGGUAAUGGCCUACCAAGGCGGCGACGGGUAGCCGGCCUGGGGGGGUGGACGGCCACAUUGGGACUGGGAUACGGCCCAGAGUCCGACGGGAGGCAGGAGUGGGGAAUAUUGCACAAUGGGCGGAAGCCUGAAGCAGCGACGCCGGGUGGGGGAUGACGGCCUUCGGGUUGUAAACUCCUUUCGACCGCGAGGAAGCCACCUGGUUGGAAGGGUGGUGACGGUAGUGGUAGAAGAAGCGCCGGCUAACUACGUG